RNAcentral lists this ribosomal RNA (472 nucleotides) under uncultured bacterium. RNAcentral describes it as "bacterial SSU rRNA". It matches the Rfam family "Bacterial small subunit ribosomal RNA", at positions 355 to 825 of the family's 1533-position model. The record is from RNAcentral.
UGGGGAAUAUUGGACAAUGGGCGAAAGCCUGAUCCAGCCAUGCCGCGUGUGUGAAGAAGGUCUUCGGAUUGUAAAGCACUUUAAGUUGGGAGGAAGGGCAGUAACUUAAUACGUUGCUGUCUUGACGUUACCGACAGAAUAAGCACCGGCUAACUUCGUGCCAGCAGCCGCGGUAAUACGAAGGGAGCUAGCGUUGUUCGGAAUCACUGGGCGUAAAGCGCACGUAGGUGGGCAGUUAAGUCAGGGGUGAAAGCCCGAGGCUCAACCUCGGAAUUGCCUCUGAUACUGGCUGUCUAGAGUUCGAGAGAGGUGAGUGGAAUUCCUAGUGUAGAGGUGAAAUUCGUAGAUAUUAGGAAGAACACCGGUGGCGAAGGCGGCUCACUGGCUCGAUACUGACACUGAGGUGCGAAAGCGUGGGGAGCAAACAGGAUUAGAUACCCCUGUAGUCCCUGAGCGGGCUGGCAAGGCGCAU